Molecule: ribosomal RNA, 253 nt
Filed under: uncultured bacterium
Lineage: Bacteria
Description: partial 16S ribosomal RNA
Rfam family: Bacterial small subunit ribosomal RNA
Source: RNAcentral
UACGUAGGGGGCAAGCGUUGUCCGGAUUUAUUGGGCGUAAAGAGCGUGUAGGCGGCCUGACAGGUCUGCUGUGAAAACUCGAGGCUCAACCUCGAGAUGUCGGCGGAAACCGUCUGGCUAGAGUCCGGAAGAGGAGAGUGGAAUUCCUGGUGUAGCGGUGAAAUGCGCAGAUAUCAGGAGGAACACCGGUGGCGAAGGCGGUUCUCUGGGAAUAUCCUGACGCUGAGGAGCGAAAGUGUGGGGAGCGAACAGG